Molecule: ribosomal RNA, 408 nt
Filed under: Ceramiales sp. ARS-2011
Lineage: Eukaryota; Rhodophyta; Florideophyceae; Ceramiales
Description: bacterial LSU rRNA
Rfam family: Bacterial large subunit ribosomal RNA
Source: RNAcentral
GACAGAAAGACCCUAUGAAGCUUUACUGUAACYUGAAAWUGAAUUUGGGUUUAUUUUGUGCAGUAUAGGUGGGAGGCUAUGAUAUUAUGUUUGAGGAUGUAAAGGAGCCAUUAGUGAGAUACCACUCUAAUUAAACUAAAAUUCUAAUCUUGAUGCCGUUAUCCGGCCAAGAGACAUUUUCAGGCGGGCAGUUUGACUGGGGCGGUCGCCUCCUAAAAGGUAACGGAGGCGUGCAAAGGUUUUCUCAGACUGGUCGGAAAUCAGUCGUAGAGUGCAAAGGCAUAAGAAAGCUUGACUGCGAGACUUACAAGUCGAGCAGAGACGAAAGUCGGCCUUAGUGAUCCGACAGUUCUGAGUGGAAAGGCUGUCSCUCAACGGAUAAAAKUUACUCUAGGGAUAACAGGCUGA